AGCGUAGGCGGUCGAUUAAGUUGGAUGUGAAAUACCCGGGCUUAACUUGGGGGGUGCAUCCAAUACUGGUUGACUAGAGUACAGGAGAGGAAAGCGGAAUUCCCAGUGUAGCGGUGAAAUGCAUAGAUAUUAGGAGGAACAUCGGUGGCGAAGGCGGCUUUCUGGGCUGACACUGACGCUGAGGCUCGAAAGCGUGGGGAGCAAACA
This 207-nucleotide ribosomal RNA is filed under the name uncultured bacterium. RNAcentral's name for it is "partial 16S ribosomal RNA". It matches the Rfam family "Bacterial small subunit ribosomal RNA", at positions 568 to 774 of the family's 1533-position model. The record is from RNAcentral.